UCAGAUAAGCACGCUAUCGUGCAGCAGCGCGUAUACGAGUGCAGCGUAUCGAUACUGGCGUAAAGCGCGCGUAGUGUUGUAAGUGGAUGUGAAAGCCUGGGCUCAACUAGAACUGCAUCCAAAACUAACUCACUAGAGUACGAUAGAGGGAGGUAGAAUUCAUAGUGUAGCGGUGGAAUGCGUAGAUAUUAUGAAGAAUACCAGUGGCGAAGGCGGCCUCCUGGAUCUGUACUGACACUAAGGUGCGAAAGCGUGGGUAGCGAACAGGAUUAGAUACCCUGGUAGUCCACGCCGUAAACGAUGACAACUAGCUGUUGGGAGACAAUGUCUUUCAGUGGCGCAGCUAACGUUUUAAGUUGUCCGCCUGGGGAGUACGGCCGCAAGGCUAAAACUCAAAUGAAUUGACGGGGACCCGCACAAGCGGUGGAGCAUGUGGUUUAAUUCGAUGCAACGCGAAAAACCUUACCUACUCUUGACAUACUUGGAAGCUCUUGUAAUGAGAGUGUGCCUUUUGGAGCCAAGAUACAGGUGCUGCAUGGCUGUCGUCAGCUCGUGUCGUGAGAUGCUCCGUUAAGUCGGAUAACGAGCGCAACCCUUACCCUUAUUUGCCAGCGAUUCGGUCGGGAACUAUAAGGGGACUGCCGGUGAUAAACCGGAGGAAGGUGAGGACGACGUCAAGUCAUCAUGGCCCUUACGAGUAGGGCUACACACGUGCUACAAUGGGGAAUACAGACGGACGCUAAGCCGCGAGGUGGUGCUAAUCCUAUAAAGUUCUUCGUAGUCCGGAUUGGAGUCUGCAACUCGACUCCAUGAAGUCGGAAUCGCUAGUAAUCGCGAAUCAGCAUGUCGCGGUGAAUACGUUCUCGGGUCUUGUACACACCGCCCGUCACACCAUGGAAGUGGAUUGCACCAGAAGUAGAUAGUCUAACCUUCGGGAGGGCGUUUAC
RNAcentral lists this ribosomal RNA (947 nucleotides) under uncultured bacterium. RNAcentral's name for it is "bacterial SSU rRNA". It matches the Rfam family "Bacterial small subunit ribosomal RNA", at positions 482 to 1457 of the family's 1533-position model. The record is from RNAcentral.